CCCACAUACAAUAUAGGGGUGAAAGUGGUGUCUUCUGGUUGGUCUACAGUGCUCAGCUGUAAGCCCAAUCUCACUUUGGGUCUAGUAUUUUGCACACCACCCCCUUGUUAGGAAACCUCCCACCAUGUUGUGGGUUUUUCUGACUUUGGCAAGUUCCACCCAGUUGUCUGGUUUGCCCCAGCUGUAAUCUGCCUUGGGAUCCACAUGUCUGUCCUCCAGCAGAGGAGAAAGUCAAUUUGUCGAGCUAUGAGACAGCAAUAGCAGCUAACAGUAUUGGCCCCAAAGAUGCAUGUUCCCCUGUGGGGGUGUUAACCUGAAGAUCAAACUGGGGCGUUGGGUGUCCAGGUAGUGUAGAACGAGUUCGAAACAAUCAUGGCUAAACAGCUCCUGGAAGUUCCUUGCUGGCCCACUUCUGAGAUGCUAUGCACUCACUUUCCCUGAGGACAGGCAAGGACCUGGGGCGCCUGCACCCCAGCUGUGACUCCUGCCACAGUUUUGCUGAGCCUGGGGUGUCAUGGCCUGGGCCUCCUCUACCUACAAGAUCCUUCUGUAGUGACAAGCUCUACAAGAGUGCUCUCCCUGGCAGCUCCAGGGACUGGCUUGAGUGUAGGCUGUCUGACAAACCUAGAUACGGUAGGCCCUGGCAUGGAGCAGGCUAAUAAAGGCUUCCAAGAAGUGAAGGUCUGUGUGGCCAGGGGGCGCUUGAUGUGGCUGAUCUGAAAAGCAAGAGGACUCAAGGGCUGGAAAACAGCUCAGGUUGCUCAACUGAGUGGGAAGCUGUCCUUACUUUGAAAAGCAUGUGAGGUCAGUUGGAGUGGAGUCUGCCCAGCUGGGUCAGUUCUGAGCCUAAUGAUGAGGGCUUUACUGAAAAUGCCUAGGUCGUCCCCGUUCAUAGGCAGCUUCAAGGGCUGUCAAUUCUGUUCAAAGUUGAGAUGGGCACGCUGGGUUCUCAUUCAGAAGUAGCAGCAGCUGGCUCGCUCUUGUAGUAGAGCUACUGUUAACCAGGACACUAGUCUCUGGCCCUCUUGAAGGUGGUUUAGAUUUAUUUUUAUUACGUGUUUAUCAUACAAGGAUUAUUCAACCAUGGGGAGUUGGUACAUGUCUGUAACGCCUUUUAAUCCUUUCUAUGGCCCCUUCCUUCCCCUCCCUUCGUCUCUUGGUUGUCCUCCCAUUUGCAAAAGAUCUAUCUCCAUUUCCUAUUGUGUUCCAAUAUAAAGUGGAAUAAGACAUACAAGCUUAAAUAUCACAUGGUUUUCCUUGUAUGAGAAACCCAGAGUAAACUGGAGAUAGUUUUGUAGCUUUAUGCUAGUAUAUGAACUUAAGUUCACAUGGGAAAAUGGCUUAAUUGUGAUAAUUAUACGGUGGCUAGAUCUCGAGCAGCGCCCAUAGUGUAAGUGCGCUCAGUAAAGGUGAGCUGUUGGCUGGAAGGUUCACUCCCCGCUGAGCGCAUAUGGCUGUCACAGGCGCUGACAAGUUAUUUGUGCAGCAAGGAGAUCCCACUGGUCAUUGGUGACAAAGGCCAUUUGAACCCAAGUGCUCUUUAUCUUCCUAUAGCCCGGCAGUCUCUAAGCCAAGUGAUGGUCCCUCAUUCCUGUCUGCUUAGUCAGCUUUCAUCUGUGCAGGCAGAGAAGUCUCAGGCUAUAUCCUGAGGAGUCACCUAAAAUUAAAAUACUUGACAUGGGAAGCUGCUUAGUUGUCAAGGCUCUAAGUAUGGGGCUGGGGGGGUAUAGAGAUCUUACAAGGUCGAAGUUGGGCCAGUAAACCAGAAAAGGUCUAAAACUGUACAAAUUCAAAGACUAAAACCAGGGGGAUGGAAACAAUGUUUAGAAUCUUGUAGCCUGAAUAUUUCCUCAGUGUCCUGUAGUUGACACAUGUCAUUUGCUACAACCUUGGACUCCUGACCCCAAAAUUGUGUGGUAAACUGUAAGAGUUCGUGAUGAAAAGCCACGAAGACAGAAGAAAUAACAAGUUCAUCUCUAGCACUGUUCUAGCUACAGUUCCCUGGGAUAGAAGCAGAAGGUGGUGUGGCCUUGCUAUUAAACUCCAAGGGACUGAUUCUCACUGGAGCCUGAAAUUCCAUACUGAAUCUUUGGAAUCUUUGCCUGCUACUGAUGCUGCUUUAGCUCAUGUCCAUUUUAACUGCUUUUAUGAUCCCCACUUUGGGCAACACAUUCAGG
This 2177-nucleotide long non-coding RNA is filed under the name Heterocephalus glaber (naked mole-rat). RNAcentral describes it as "lncRNA (ENSHGLG00000034847.1)". The record is from RNAcentral. Lineage: Eukaryota; Metazoa; Chordata; Mammalia; Rodentia; Bathyergidae.